GACGAACGCUGGCGGCGUGCUUAACACAUGCAAGUCGUACGGUAAGGCCCUUUCGGGGGUACACGAGUGGCGAACGGGUGAGUAACACGUGCGUAACCUGCCCACAACUUUGGGAUAACGCUAGGAAACUGGUGCUAAUACUGGAUAUGUGCUCCUGCUGCAUGGUGGGGGUUGGAAAGCUCCGGCGGUUGUGGAUGGACUCGCGGCCUAUCAGCUUGUUGGUGGGGUAGUGGCCUACCAAGGCGGCGACGGGUAGCCGGCCUGAGAGGGUGACCGGCCACAUUGGGACUGAGAUACGGCCCAGACUCCUACGGGGGGCAGCAGUGGGGAAUAUUGCACAAUGGGCGCAAGCCUGAUGCAGCAACGCCGCGUGCGGGAUGACGGCCUUCGGGUUGUAAACCGCUUUCAGCAGGGACGAAGCUUUUUGUGACGGUACCUGCAGAAGAAGCACCGGCUAACUACGUG
Molecule: ribosomal RNA, 465 nt
Filed under: uncultured bacterium
Lineage: Bacteria
Description: partial 16S ribosomal RNA
Rfam family: Bacterial small subunit ribosomal RNA
Source: RNAcentral